CGGAGGUACUCGAGUGGCGAACGGGUGAGUAACACGUGGGCAAUCUGCCCUGCACUUCGGGAUAAGCCUGGGAAACUGGGUCUAAUACCGGAUAGGACCACAAGACGCAUGUCUUGUGGUGGAAAGCUUUUGCGGUGUGGGAUGGGCCCGCGGCCUAUCAGCUUGUUGGUGGGGUGACGGCCUACCAAGGCGACGACGGGUAGCCGGCCUGAGAGGGUGUCCGGCCACACUGGGACUGAGAUACGGCCCAGACUCCUACGGGAGGCAGCAGUGGGGAAUAUUGCACAAUGGGCGCAAGCCUGAUGCAGCGACGCCGCGUGGGGGAUGACGGCCUUUCGGGUUGUAAACCUCUUUCACCAUCGACGAAGGUCCGGGUUUUCUCGGAUUGACGGUAGGUGGAGAAGAAGCACCGGCCAACUACGUGCCAGCAGCCGCGGUAAUACGUAGGGUGCGAGCGUUGUCCGGAAUUACUGGGCGUAAAGAGCUCGUAGGUGGUUUGUCGCGUUGUUCGUGAAAUCUCACGGCUUAACUGUGAGCGUGCGGGCGAUACGGGCAGACUAGAGUACUGCAGGGGAGACUGGAAUUCCUGGUGUAGCGGUGGAAUGCGCAGAUAUCAGGAGGAACACCGGUGGCGAAGGCGGGUCUCUGGGCAGUAACUGACGCUGAGGAGCGAAAGCGUGGGGAGCGAACAGGAUUAGAUACCCUGGUAGUCCACGCCGUAAACGGUGGGUACUAGGUGUGGGUUUCCUUCCUUGGGAUCCGUGCCGUAGCUAACGCAUUAAGUACCCCGCCUGGGGAGUACGGCCGCAAGGCUAAAACUCAAAGGAAUUGACGGGGGCCCGCACAAGCGGCGGAGCAUGUGGAUUAAUUCGAUGCAACGCGAAGAACCUUACCUGGGUUUGACAUGCACAGGACGCGUCUAGAGAUAGGCGUUCCCUUGUGGCCUGUGUGCAGGUGGUGCAUGGCUGUCGUCAGCUCGUGUCGUGAGAUGUUGGGUUAAGUCCCGCAACGAGCGCAACCCUUGUCUCAUGUUGCCAGCGGGUAAUGCCGGGGACUCGUGAGAGACUGCCGGGGUCAACUCGGAGGAAGGUGGGGAUGACGUCAAGUCAUCAUGCCCCUUAUGUCCAGGGCUUCACACAUGCUACAAUGGCCGGUACAAAGGGCUGCGAUGCCGUAAGGUUAAGCGAAUCCUUUUAAAGCCGGUCUCAGUUCGGAUUGGGGUCUGCAACUCGACCCCAUGAAGUCGGAGUCGCUAGUAAUCGCAGAUCAGCAACGCUGCGGUGAAUACGUUCCCGGGCCUUGUACACACCGCCCGUCACGUCAUGAAAGUCGGUAACACCCGAAGCC
Molecule: ribosomal RNA, 1347 nt
Filed under: Mycobacterium sp. DWMJ-1586B2
Lineage: Bacteria; Bacillati; Actinomycetota; Actinomycetes; Mycobacteriales; Mycobacteriaceae
Description: bacterial SSU rRNA
Rfam family: Bacterial small subunit ribosomal RNA
Source: RNAcentral